RNAcentral lists this transfer RNA (76 nucleotides) under Prevotellaceae bacterium. RNAcentral describes it as "tRNA-Gln". It matches the Rfam family "tRNA". Rfam says of the family: Transfer RNA (tRNA) molecules are approximately 80 nucleotides in length. Their secondary structure includes four short double-helical elements and three loops (D, anti-codon, and T loops). Lineage: Bacteria; Pseudomonadati; Bacteroidota; Bacteroidia; Bacteroidales; Prevotellaceae. The record is from RNAcentral.
UGUCCUAUGGUGUAAUUGGCAACACGUCUGACUCUGGAUCAGAAGACUUCAAGUUCGACCCUUGAUAGGACAACCA